Long non-coding RNA from Papaver somniferum (opium poppy), 2566 nucleotides. RefSeq lists it as uncharacterized. The transcript is spliced from 3 exons. The record is from RefSeq and is a predicted model, not a curated record. NCBI's taxonomy places the organism in Eukaryota, Viridiplantae, Streptophyta, Magnoliopsida, Ranunculales, Papaveraceae.
UGGUAUCCUUCACCAUGCGCAAUUUAUAUUGUGACUACUGCAUGGUAUAGUGGUACAGCCGCUUCUCAAGUAUGACACUAGUGUACAAUUGUGGCAGAUAUAUUGUUUGCCAAGUAGUAGACAGUUUAGCCUUAGGGGCAAUCUGUACCUCAGUAAUGUUAUUUCCGAGUUCUACAUUGAUGAAAAAUCAGCUGUGACCCCAAGUCUGUCACAUACUCACAUAGCCACAAAAAAAAGUCCCUAUGAGCUAAAGCCUGCAUCCAACAUCUGCAUCCUGGCCAAAAAUCUGCUUGCUAAACCAAACUUUGUCAUGUUGCCCGGAAUAUACACAUCACAGCCGUCCAUCAUCACUUACCCAGGUCAUUCAUAGAAUACUCUAGAGCUGUUGGAUCAAACGGGCAGAUCUCUUACCCUUAUAUAAGUUGUGAAGAUUUCUGCUAGGGCAUCCAAUCUGUGCCUCCUUGGUUUCCUUGAGCAAACCCUAACCCUAAAAUCUAUCUGUGAUUAUCACCGUCGGCAACAGAUGCCAGAAACAAGUGGCGGUUCAGCGGCAUCACCAACAACAAACAAGUAUUAUGAUUUUUCCUCUCAGAAAUGUUAAUCUUCUGUCUGUUGCACAAUUGAAUUCUCAUCCUGUACUCCUUUUCAAUCUUCUUCAAACCUUUUUUUCUUGAAUUUUCCUCGUUGUUAUCUUCUUUUUAGGCUUGUUCAAGAUUCAGUUUCAGCUCAGAAACGGAAUCUGCUACCUUAAUCAGUUGUACUCUCACUAUUUCUUCAUCUCCAAAGUUAAUUAUAUUUAAUUUUAUGUAUGUGUGAACCCAUUAUCAAUAGAUAAAUUUUGAAGUGGAGAAGUAAUGUCAUCCCCAGUUUUUUUUUUUUCUGGUUCAACUCUGAUCUCAUUUGUACUCUCACUUUUUCUUUUCUUUCCAUAGUGUAUCACAUUUAAUUUUCAAUAUAUGUGAACCAAUUACCAAUUAAUUAAAUAUUAUCAAGUGAAGAAAUUUUGUCAUUGCACUAUUGCAGUUUGUAUUCUUUUUCAUAAUCUGGAUGUACCAAAUUUUGUCAUUACAAAUUGUUUCAGUCUGUUACAAAGAAAAAUGCAACAACAGUUUGAUACACAUAUUAUUCCAAUGAAGCACCACAAUUUUUCCCAGACAUAAAAGUUAUAAGAUGCAGUAGUUGAAGACUCUCAGAUUAACAGGGUUUCAACUGAAAAAACUGUCAAGUUAUAAGAACAGAAAUGGAUCAACUUUGACGAUUGAACAAAAAAAAGACCUUUUGAGUUGGAGUGUAAGCAUUGGAGGGAUUUGAUUUUGUGUUUUCAGCAAGGGGUUUUGAUUCCAAGACCUGAGAUUGAAAAGAUAGUGGAGUUGGUUCAAGAAGUGGUUGCAAAAGAUAAGGAUUUAAGAGAGUGUUUAUGGGUUGAUUUAGGUGCUGAUAGUGGUGCACUUGUUAUUGCAAUUGGGAAGGUUUUGGGUACUCAAGGAAAGGUCAUUGCCAUGGAUUUGAGUUUGAUUGCUGCUUCUGUAACUCAGUUCAGUCUCACGAGGUACGAUUUACAGCUGAAGUAGGUAAUCAAUCACGAACCAAGAUUUGCGCUAGAUGGGGGUGAAAAUGUCAUGGAUGAUCUUCUUCAUCUUUGUGAAGGAGCUGCUUGCAUGUUGCGGUCUGGUGGGCCUUUUUGCUUUCGAGGUUCAACUGGCAUCCUUCACCAUGCGCAAUUUAUGUUGUGUGACUAUGUACCGCUUCUCAAGUAUGAAACUAGUGUACAUUUGUGGCGGAUUGUUGGACAAAGUAGACAGUUUAGCCUUUGGUGCAAUCUGUACCUCAGUAAUGUUAUAUCCGAGUUCUACAUUGAUGCUGUAAAAUAACUGGGAAAAAUCAGCUGUGACCCCAAGUCUGUCACAUACUCACAUAGCCACACAAAAAAAAGUCCCUAUGAGCUAAAGCCUGCAUCCAACAUCUGCAUCCUGGCCAAAAAUCUGCUUGCUAAACCAAACUUUGUCAUGUUGCCCGGAAUAUACACAUCACAGCCGUCCAUCAUCACUUACCCAGGUCAUUCAUAGAAUACUCUAGAGCUGUUGGAUCAAACGGGCAGAUCUCUUACCCUUAUAUAAGUUGUGAAGAUUUCUGCUAGGGCAUCCAAUCUGUGCCUCCUUGGUUUCCUUGAGCAAACCCUAACCCUAAAAUCUAUAUGUGAUUAUCACCGACGGCAACAGAUGCCAGAAACAAGUGGCGGUUCAGCAGCAUUACCAACAACAAACAAGAAUUAUUGCUUCAAACAAUCAAAAAAAAACAAGCAUUAUGAUUUUUCUCUCAGAAAUGUUAAUCUUCUGUCUGCUGCACAACUGAAUUCUCAACCUGUACUCCUUUUCAAUCUUCUUCAAACCUUUUUUUCUUUGAUUUUCCUCGUUAUCUUCUUUUUGGGCUUGUUCAAGAUUUAGUUUCAGCUCAGAAACGGAAUCUGCUACCUUAAUCAGUUGUACUAUUUCUUCAUUUCUAAAGUUUAGUACACUUUGUUACGAGAUACUAUAGUAUCUUUACAUAUCCUCUUCUUAACUGCAUA